CUAGCAAAGCAUUAACAUUAAGACAAUAGGGAGUUCUGGAGAAAUGGUUUACUCUGCCAGUCUCAAGUAUUUGUCAAUGGGCUGCAGGUUAUAAGGAAAUUGAGUUCCAUCUGCCAUUUCCUUCGGCCUUUGUUUCUCACAUC
Long non-coding RNA from Leopardus geoffroyi (Geoffroy's cat), 143 nucleotides. RefSeq lists it as uncharacterized. The transcript has 2 exons. The record is from RefSeq and is a predicted model, not a curated record. NCBI's taxonomy places the organism in Eukaryota, Metazoa, Chordata, Mammalia, Carnivora, Felidae.